Molecule: ribosomal RNA, 76 nt
Filed under: Brevibacillus sp. AG162
Lineage: Bacteria; Bacillati; Bacillota; Bacilli; Caryophanales; Paenibacillaceae
Description: partial 23S ribosomal RNA
Source: RNAcentral
GAGGUUGAUAGGUUCGGUGUGGAAGCGCGGUAACGCGUGGAGCUGACGAAUACUAAUCGGUCGAGGACUUAUCCAC